UUUUCAGUGUCGCAGCGAAAGCCAUAAACACACCGCCUGGGGAGUACGACCGCAAGGUUAAAACUCAAAUGAAUUGACGGGGACCCGCACAAGUAGUGGAGCAUGUGGUUUAAUUCGAAGAUACGCGCAGAACCUUACCAACACUUGACAUGUUCGUCGCGACUUUAAGAGAUUAAAGUUUUCGGUUCGGCCGGACGAAACACAGGUGCUGCAUGGCUGUCGUCAGCUCGUGUCGUGAGAUGUUGGGUUAAGUCCCGCAACGAGCGCAACCCUCACUUUUAGUUGCCAUCAUUAAGUUGGGCACUCUGAAAGAACUGCCAGUGAUAAGCUGGAGGAAGGUGGGGAUGACGUCAAGUCCUCAUGGCCCUUACGUGUUGGGCUACACACGUGCUACAAUGGUAUCUACAACAGGAAGCAAGACGGCGACGUUAAGCAAAUCCUUAAAAGAUACCUCAGUUCGGAUUGCACUCUGCAACUCGAGUGCAUGAAGCUGGAAUUACUAGUAAUCGUGGAUCAGCGUGCCACGGUGAAUGCGUUCCCGGGUCUUGUACACACCGCCCGUCACACCAUGGGAGUUGGUUCUACCUUAAGGCAAGGUUUAAUACCCUUGACCACGGUAUAGUCAGCGACUGGGGUGAAGUCGUAACAAGGUAGCCGUAGGGGAACCUGCGGCUGGAUUACCUCCUU
Molecule: ribosomal RNA, 687 nt
Filed under: uncultured marine alpha proteobacterium
Lineage: Bacteria; Pseudomonadati; Pseudomonadota; Alphaproteobacteria
Description: bacterial SSU rRNA
Rfam family: Bacterial small subunit ribosomal RNA
Source: RNAcentral